Molecule: ribosomal RNA, 135 nt
Filed under: uncultured eukaryote
Lineage: Eukaryota
Description: partial 18S ribosomal RNA
Rfam family: Eukaryotic small subunit ribosomal RNA
Source: RNAcentral
UGGUGGUUCGAGCUGUCUGGUUUAUUCCGUUAACGAACGAGACCUUCGCCAGCUAAAUAGCACUCUGUUUCUUACAGAGGUGUCUUCUUAGCGGGACUUUGUGCGUCUCAGCACAAUGAAGUGAAGGCAAUAACA